Molecule: ribosomal RNA, 301 nt
Filed under: uncultured bacterium
Lineage: Bacteria
Description: partial 16S ribosomal RNA
Rfam family: Bacterial small subunit ribosomal RNA
Source: RNAcentral
CAGCCGCCGCGGUAAUACGGAGGGUGCAAGCGUUAAUCGGAAUUACUGGGCGUAAAGCGCACGCAGGCGGUCUGACAAGUCAGAUGUGAAAUCCCCGGGCUUAACCUGGGAACUGCAUUUGAAACUGUCAGGCUGGAGUCUUGUAGAGGGGGGUGGAAUUCCAGGUGUAGCGGUGAAAUGCGUAGAGAUCUGGAGGAAUACCGGUGGCGAAGGCGGCCCCCUGGACAAAGACUGACGCUCAGGUGCGAAAGCGUGGGGAGCAAACAGGAUUAGAUACCCGCGUAGUCCCUGUCCUUAUACA